Molecule: ribosomal RNA, 433 nt
Filed under: uncultured bacterium
Lineage: Bacteria
Description: partial 16S ribosomal RNA
Rfam family: Bacterial small subunit ribosomal RNA
Source: RNAcentral
AACGAACGCUGGCGGCAUGCCUAACACAUGCAAGUCGAACGAGACCUUCGGGUCUAGUGGCGCACGGGUGCGUAACGCGUGGGAACCUGCCCUUAGGUUCGGAAUAACUCCCCGAAAGGGGUGCUAAUACCGGAUAAUGUCUUCGGACCAAAGAUUUAUCGCCUUUGGAUGGGCCCGCGUUGGAUUAGCUAGUUGGUAGGGUAAAAGCCUACCAAGGCGACGAUCCAUAGCUGGUCUGAGAGGAUGAUCAGCCACACUGGGACUGAGACACGGCCCAGACUCCUACGGGAGGCAGCAGUGGGGAAUAUUGGACAAUGGGCGAAAGCCUGAUCCAGCAAUGCCGCGUGAGUGAUGAAGGCCCUAGGGUUGUAAAGCUCUUUUACCCGGGAUGAUAAUGACAGUACCGGUAGAAUAAGCUCCGGCUAACUCCGUG